Molecule: ribosomal RNA, 503 nt
Filed under: uncultured bacterium
Lineage: Bacteria
Description: partial 16S ribosomal RNA
Rfam family: Bacterial small subunit ribosomal RNA
Source: RNAcentral
AUUGAACGCUGGCGGCAUGCCUUACACAUGCAAGUCGAGCGGGGUGAUGGUGCUUGCACUAUCACUUAGCGGCGGACGGGUGAGUAAUGCUUAGGAAUCUGCCUAUUAGUGGGGGACAACAUCUCGAAAGGGAUGCUAAUACCGCAUACGUCCUACGGGAGAAAGCAGGGGAUCACUUGUGACCUUGCGCUAAUAGAUGAGCCUAAGUCGGAUUAGCUAGUUGGUGGGGUAAAGGCCUACCAAGGCGACGAUCUGUAGCGGGUCUGAGAGGAUGAUCCGCCACAUUGGGACUGAGACACGGCCCAGACUCCUACGGGAGGCAGCAGUGGGGAAUAUUGGACAAUGGGGGGAACCCUGAUCCAGCCAUGCCGCGUGUGUGAAGAAGGCCUUAUGGUUGUAAAGCACUUUAAGCGAGGAGGAGGCUCUUUUGGUUAAUACCCAAGAUGAGUGGACGUUACUCGCAGAAUAAGCACCGGCUAACUCUGUGCCAGCAGCCGCGGUAA